Molecule: ribosomal RNA, 477 nt
Filed under: Candidatus Scalindua brodae
Lineage: Bacteria; Pseudomonadati; Planctomycetota; Candidatus Brocadiia; Candidatus Brocadiales; Candidatus Scalinduaceae
Also listed under: 1 other name
Description: bacterial SSU rRNA
Rfam family: Bacterial small subunit ribosomal RNA
Source: RNAcentral
UUCGCAAUGCCCGAAAGGGUGACGAAGCGACGCCGCGUGGGUGAAGAAGGCCUUCGGGUUGUAAAGCCCUGUCAGGAGUUAUGAAAUAUAAGUGCGCUAAUAUCGUGCUUAUUUGACAAAGGCUCCAAAGGAAGCCACGGCUAACUCUGUGCCAGCAGCCGCGGUAAUACAGAGGUGGCGAGCGUUGUUCGGAAUUAUUGGGCGUAAAGAGCACGUAGGUGGGUUUGCAAGUCAGAUGUGAAAGCCUUCUGUUCAACGGAAGAAUUGCAUCUGAAACUGCUGAUCUUGAGUAUAGGAGGGGAGAAUGGAACUUCUGGUGGAGCGGUGAAAUGCGUAGAUAUCAGAAGGAACGCCGGCGGCGAAAGCGAUUCUCUGGCCUAUUACUGACACUCAGUGUGCGAAAGCUAGGGGAGCAAACGGGAUUAGAUACCCCGGUAGUCCUAGCCGUAAACGAUGGGCACUAAGUAGAGGGGUUUU